Carlito syrichta (Philippine tarsier) is the source of this 393-nucleotide long non-coding RNA. RefSeq lists it as uncharacterized. The record is from RefSeq and is a predicted model, not a curated record. NCBI's taxonomy places the organism in Eukaryota, Metazoa, Chordata, Mammalia, Primates, Tarsiidae. The transcript has 3 exons.
UAAGGAGAAGCAGCAGCAAUUGUUCAGGGUAGAUUUCAGAUAUCUCCAGACAGCUGUACAACUGCGCCUCUAGGGAGAAGAGAUUCUUGGAAAGCAGGUCAUAACAGGAACUUCAAAGGACCUCCCCACUGAGCUGGCACCAUGCAACUCUUUUACCCUCUCAUCUUAGUUGUCUUCUUCAUCUCUCAAGUAAUGCCAGAUUGUGAAUUCUCUGAAACAUAUCAAUAUUGCCAUGCACGUGGAGGUGUGUGCCUAAGGAGGAAAAAUAAUUGCAUUUUUCGCAUGGCAGGGAUAUGCCCUGGAAGGAGCUUCUGUUGUAGGAGAACGAAGUAAAUGGAGAAGUUCAUGUUUCAUAUAGUUACUUUGAAUUACAUUAAAAGGCUGAGAAACUCA